This 2932-nucleotide ribosomal RNA is filed under the name Escherichia coli. RNAcentral describes it as "23S ribosomal RNA". It matches the Rfam family "Bacterial large subunit ribosomal RNA". The record is from RNAcentral. Lineage: Bacteria; Pseudomonadati; Pseudomonadota; Gammaproteobacteria; Enterobacterales; Enterobacteriaceae.
GGGUUGUGAGGUUAAGCGACUAAGCGUACACGGUGGAUGCCCAGGCAGUCAGAGGCGAUGAAGGACGUGCUAAUCUGCGAUAAGCGUCGGUAAGGUGAUAUGAACCGUUAUAACCGGCGAUUUCCGAAUGGGGAAACCCAGUGUGUUUCGACACACUAUCAUUAACUGAAUCCAUAGGUUAAUGAGGCGAACCGGGGGAACUGAAACAUCUAAGUACCCCGAGGAAAAGAAAUCAACCGAGAUUCUCCCAGUAGCGGCGAGCGAACGGGGAGCAGCCCAGAGCCUGAAUCAGUGUGUGUGUUAGUGGAAGCGUCUGGAAAGGCGCGCGAUACAGGGUGACAGCCCCGUACACAAAAAUGCACAUGCUGUGAGCUCGAUGAGUAGGGCGGGACACGUGGUAUCCUGUCUGAAUAUGGGGGGACCAUCCUCCAAGGCUAAAUACUCCUGACUGACCGAUAGUGAACCAGUACCGUGAGGGAAAGGCGAAAAGAACCCCGGCGAGGGGAGUGAAAAAGAACCUGAAACCGUGUACGUACAAGCAGUGGGAGCACGCUUAGGCGUGUGACUGCGUACCUUUUGUAUAAUGGGUCAGCGACUUAUAUUCUGUAGCAAGGUUAACCGAAUAGGGGAGCCGAAGGGAAACCGAGUCUUAACUGGGCGUUAAGUUGCAGGGUAUAGACCCGAAACCCGGUGAUCUAGCCAUGGGCAGGUUGAAGGUUGGGUAACACUAACUGGAGGACCGAACCGACUAAUGUUGAAAAAUUAGCGGAUGACUUGUGGCUGGGGGUGAAAGGCCAAUCAAACCGGGAGAUAGCUGGUUCUCCCCGAAAGCUAUUUAGGUAGCGCCUCGUGAAUUCAUCUCCGGGGGUAGAGCACUGUUUCGGCAAGGGGGUCAUCCCGACUUACCAACCCGAUGCAAACUGCGAAUACCGGAGAAUGUUAUCACGGGAGACACACGGCGGGUGCUAACGUCCGUCGUGAAGAGGGAAACAACCCAGACCGCCAGCUAAGGUCCCAAAGUCAUGGUUAAGUGGGAAACGAUGUGGGAAGGCCCAGACAGCCAGGAUGUUGGCUUAGAAGCAGCCAUCAUUUAAAGAAAGCGUAAUAGCUCACUGGUCGAGUCGGCCUGCGCGGAAGAUGUAACGGGGCUAAACCAUGCACCGAAGCUGCGGCAGCGACACUAUGUGUUGUUGGGUAGGGGAGCGUUCUGUAAGCCUGUGAAGGUGUGCUGUGAGGCAUGCUGGAGGUAUCAGAAGUGCGAAUGCUGACAUAAGUAACGAUAAAGCGGGUGAAAAGCCCGCUCGCCGGAAGACCAAGGGUUCCUGUCCAACGUUAAUCGGGGCAGGGUGAGUCGACCCCUAAGGCGAGGCCGAAAGGCGUAGUCGAUGGGAAACAGGUUAAUAUUCCUGUACUUGGUGUUACUGCGAAGGGGGGACGGAGAAGGCUAUGUUGGCCGGGCGACGGUUGUCCCGGUUUAAGCGUGUAGGCUGGUUUUCCAGGCAAAUCCGGAAAAUCAAGGCUGAGGCGUGAUGACGAGGCACUACGGUGCUGAAGCAACAAAUGCCCUGCUUCCAGGAAAAGCCUCUAAGCAUCAGGUAACAUCAAAUCGUACCCCAAACCGACACAGGUGGUCAGGUAGAGAAUACCAAGGCGCUUGAGAGAACUCGGGUGAAGGAACUAGGCAAAAUGGUGCCGUAACUUCGGGAGAAGGCACGCUGAUAUGUAGGUGAAGUCCCUCGCGGAUGGAGCUGAAAUCAGUCGAAGAUACCAGCUGGCUGCAACUGUUUAUUAAAAACACAGCACUGUGCAAACACGAAAGUGGACGUAUACGGUGUGACGCCUGCCCGGUGCCGGAAGGUUAAUUGAUGGGGUUAGCCGCAAGGCGAAGCUCUUGAUCGAAGCCCCGGUAAACGGCGGCCGUAACUAUAACGGUCCUAAGGUAGCGAAAUUCCUUGUCGGGUAAGUUCCGACCUGCACGAAUGGCGUAAUGAUGGCCAGGCUGUCUCCACCCGAGACUCAGUGAAAUUGAACUCGCUGUGAAGAUGCAGUGUACCCGCGGCAAGACGGAAAGACCCCGUGAACCUUUACUAUAGCUUGACACUGAACAUUGAGCCUUGAUGUGUAGGAUAGGUGGGAGGCUUUGAAGUGUGGACGCCAGUCUGCAUGGAGCCGACCUUGAAAUACCACCCUUUAAUGUUUGAUGUUCUAACGUUGACCCGUAAUCCGGGUUGCGGACAGUGUCUGGUGGGUAGUUUGACUGGGGCGGUCUCCUCCUAAAGAGUAACGGAGGAGCACGAAGGUUGGCUAAUCCUGGUCGGACAUCAGGAGGUUAGUGCAAUGGCAUAAGCCAGCUUGACUGCGAGCGUGACGGCGCGAGCAGGUGCGAAAGCAGGUCAUAGUGAUCCGGUGGUUCUGAAUGGAAGGGCCAUCGCUCAACGGAUAAAAGGUACUCCGGGGAUAACAGGCUGAUACCGCCCAAGAGUUCAUAUCGACGGCGGUGUUUGGCACCUCGAUGUCGGCUCAUCACAUCCUGGGGCUGAAGUAGGUCCCAAGGGUAUGGCUGUUCGCCAUUUAAAGUGGUACGCGAGCUGGGUUUAGAACGUCGUGAGACAGUUCGGUCCCUAUCUGCCGUGGGCGCUGGAGAACUGAGGGGGGCUGCUCCUAGUACGAGAGGACCGGAGUGGACGCAUCACUGGUGUUCGGGUUGUCAUGCCAAUGGCACUGCCCGGUAGCUAAAUGCGGAAGAGAUAAGUGCUGAAAGCAUCUAAGCACGAAACUUGCCCCGAGAUGAGUUCUCCCUGACUCCUUGAGAGUCCUGAAGGAACGUUGAAGACGACGACGUUGAUAGGCCGGGUGUGUAAGCGCAGCGAUGCGUUGAGCUAACCGGUACUAAUGAACCGUGAGGCUUAACCUUACAACGCCGAAGGUGUUU